GAUGAACGCUGGCGGCGUGCCUAAUACAUGCAAGUCGAGCGAACGGACGAGAAGCUUGCUUCUCUGAUGUUAGCGGCGGACGGGUGAGUAGCACGUGGAUAACCUACCUAUAAGACUGGGAUAACUUCGGGAAACCGUAGCUAAUGCCGGAUAAUAUUUUGAACCGCAUGGUUCAAAAGUGAAAGACGGUCUUGCUGUCACUUAUAGAUGGAUCCGCGCUGCAUUAGCUAGUUGGUAAGGUAACGGCUUACCAAGGCAACGAUGCAUAGCCGACCUGAGAGGGUGAUCGGCCACACUGGAACUGAGACACGGUCCAGACUCCUACGGGAGGCAGCAGUAGGGAAUCUUCCGCAAUGGGCGAAAGCCUGACGGAGCAACGCCGCGUGAGUGAUGAAGGUCUUCGGAUCGUAAAACUCUGUUAUUAGGGAAGAACAUAUGUGUAAGUAACUGUGCACAUCUUGACGGUACCUAAUCAGAAAGCCACGGCUAACUACGUG
RNAcentral lists this ribosomal RNA (497 nucleotides) under uncultured bacterium. Its description in RNAcentral is "partial 16S ribosomal RNA". It matches the Rfam family "Bacterial small subunit ribosomal RNA", at positions 28 to 507 of the family's 1533-position model. The record is from RNAcentral.